Molecule: long non-coding RNA, 1776 nt
Organism: Neofelis nebulosa (Clouded leopard)
Lineage: Eukaryota; Metazoa; Chordata; Mammalia; Carnivora; Felidae
Exons: 2
Source: RefSeq, a predicted model, not a curated record
GAGACACACACAUAUGUGUGUUAUGUACUUACCACUUGCAGAUUUGACCAUGAGGGAAGGAGAAAGCAGUGAAGUCCAACAUUUGAAGAUUGAGCAGAAGAGAAGCUCAAAAAGUGUUCCAAAAGUGAGUCUGCUGCACAGCCAAGGGGUGUCCAUCACUGACCCACAAGUAUGUGGCAGUGGUGCCCGCAGUUACAAUGCAGUCAGGUAUGUGCUGGGCUCCAGACCCUUCUGUCCGACUUACCUGUUCCACACGGCCAUUUCGAGUUUCCCGUGUCCCGAGCUGGUCUUCCCCUCCUUCCUUCCAUGCACCCCUCUUCUCGUGUUGUCUGUCUGUGAAUAGCACAAGUAUCCCUUCAGGUGCCCAAAGCAGACACUUGCCCCCGCCCACCCCCAACUCGUGCAUCCCAUCAGCAGGCCUGUUCAUUCCACCUUCGAAACAUCUCCCCUCCACCUGCUUCCUCCCACCUUCCGCUGCCUUAAUCCCAGCCACCGCCUACCUUUGUUGGGUCACUACGGGAGCUUCCCAGCUGGUCUCUAGGUCUCUACCGCUCUGUACUUUCAGCAGGCACAGUAACUGUUCUAAACUUCGAAUCUGAUCGUAUCACUGUCACUUGAAACCAUUAAAUGCUUCCCCGUCGUCCUGAGGACAAAGUUCCUAAAGCUGCUGCCAGGCCCUCCCUCAUCGGGCCCUGCUCUUCUCCGCCCCCCGCCCCCCUCCCCACGGUUGUCCUCCUCAUGCCCUCCCCCACUCAUGAACCUGUCUUCACCCUCAUCUAGCACAUGGCCUCUGUAAGUGCUGUUCGGGCUCUGCCAGGGCUGUCCCUUCCCCCACCCCUCAUCCUCCACUUCUCAGGGCUUGGCUCCCAGCUCCCAGUUCACUUCCUCUGGGAAACCAAAAAGGUUUCCAUCGCACACGCCCCCACACCCAGCUGGCUUAGGUGCCUCUCCUGUAAUCGCCCACAUCUGGCAUUUGCCCUGAAUCCUGAGUCGUUUCCACUUGCCUGUCUUCCUCAUAGACUGUGAGGUCCCUCUCCCACCGUCCCAGAAAUGACCCACUGCUUACCAUAUGAUGCCUGCUCACGAUAUUGAAAAUUACGGAAUUUUAUUUGCAACACACACACACACGCCACCAAACAAACUAGUUUGGGGCUGGUUUUUUUUUUCUUUUUUUUUUUUUUUCUUUUCUUUUAAUUUACCUGAAGUGGAAUAGCAAGGUAGAGCAUUUUGAAAUAACCCAGGAUGUCAGGAAGGAUUGCACUCUUAGGUUGUGUAGAAUGGCACCAGAUUUUUGAAGGUUCGUUUUUGAGACAGAAGAGGAAAAUGUUUAAGCAGCACUGAAGGAAAGGGGGCCCCCUGGGUGGCUCAGCUGGUUAAGCGUCGGACUCCUCAUUUUGGCUCCCGUCAUGAUCUCACGGUUGUUGGUUGUGGGAUCGAGCCCUGCUUGGGAUUCUUUCUCUCUCUCCCUCUGCCCCUCUCUACCCCACCCCCUCAAAAACAAAUAGACAUUAAAAAAAAGAAACAAAGAAAGAAACACUUAAGGAAAAGAAUGGAGUGCUUGGAAACCUGACAUCUCUUCAAGUGACACAGAUCAUACUGAUUGGCUCCUUAAGAUUCUGGUUAAACCGAGAAUCUUCCUUCACCCUAGCUCGGUGUCCCGUGUGUUUUGUACUAGAAUUGUCACAUAAGAAAGCAGCUCUGGGUGGCCAUUUGUUUUAAUAAUGGGAUUAGGGGCACUGCAGGCUUUGCAUGACAUUAAACAUGGAACUGACUAAU